Long non-coding RNA from Xiphophorus hellerii (green swordtail), 1569 nucleotides. RefSeq lists it as uncharacterized. The transcript has 3 exons. The record is from RefSeq and is a predicted model, not a curated record. NCBI's taxonomy places the organism in Eukaryota, Metazoa, Chordata, Actinopteri, Cyprinodontiformes, Poeciliidae.
GAAAUACCAAGCAAAAAUGUAGUAUUUAUUUGCAGAAAAUAAGAAUUGGUCAAAAAGAUCCAGUGCUUUCGGACCUGAAAUAAUGCAAAGAGAACAAGUUCAUAUUCAUUUAGAAACAACAAUACUGAUGUUUUAACUCAGGAAGAGUUCAGGAAUCAAUAUUUGGUGGAAAAACCAGGAGGUUUUCAGUGGGGUUCAGUGCAGUGGGCUUUUAGUUUUUUACAGAGCUGUAUAAGGUUAAAUGACGGGUGGUCCAGCACUCUUACUGUAAUUUCUGGACUGUAAUCUUCUACUUUUGUCCCCUGGCUAAUAUAUGGCUUUUUGCCAACAUGUUUUGAUUUGAAAGGCUGCACUGCUGCGUGUCGAAGCCCAAGAGCAAAAGGAAAGUGAGGUUGUUCAAUUCCAACAACAAAGAAGACACGUUUGGUGGUUUUAGUGAGUAAGAAAGUAACAAUUUUAUGUAGCUUUCACAGAUAAAAUCACAAAGUGCUUCACAAAGCGUGUAGGAAAAGCACAUCAAACAUAAUGUCGAAUGAAGUUUGUUUGAUGCAUUCACUGAUUGCAGGAGGAAAAUAGCAAUCAAUGAUUUUUCCCUGUAGGCUACUGGAUUUAUUUAUUUAUUUUUUCUUUUUAAAGCAGUCAUGUUACAGGUGUUUGGAAAAAGCAUUUGGAGUUUUUAUUUCACUAAAAGUAAGAAAAAAAAGUUCUAUGUAAAUACCUUAUGUUACAAUACGGACACCUACAACUUACAGACAAGUGCAGUCAUUAUAUGUACCUUUUUUUUCUUUUCCAAAGUUAGAGGGUGGGCUAUGUUCAGGUGCGCUUCGCAGUCCUUAAAUUACGCUACUUCUUUUGGUUUUACUGGGAAGCUAAUAUCUGUUUCCUAAUCUAUAGGUCAAAAUCUACAAAGGUCAUAAACUUGCUACUUGGUUGGCCAUGGAUUUGCAGUCAUAUUGUUCUUGCUUCCUCUUGCUACUGAUCAAUCUGUUGGUAAUUUAGUGAACUGAAACUCUGAAUUAAGGUCAAGAGACAUUUCAUUUAGCAGUUUCUCAUUUCAUAGCCGUUUCUGUUCUUCUUAUGUAUGCCCACCUUUUAUCUUGGAUGAUAUUCCAAGUUGGGCACAAAGCAGGUGUUGUUUCCUUUAGAAAUCUUUUUAGACCAAACUAGUAUAAUCCAGAAAGUAUACUCUCCCCAAAUCUACAGGCAGAGUUUGGGAAAGGUGUCUAAGGCAGAUGAAGAACUGAAAUUUGUGCUUUGCUUUGUUGCUGAAAUUGAUCCAUAAUCAAUGAAUAUCAGAAAUGUUGUCUGAUUUAGGAUUGUAUUGUUCAGAAUCUGAAUGAUACCUCAAAUUUUAUGUGUUAAGUUCAUUAAUAUUCCCUGGUAACCUGCUUUUCAAACCCUGCAUCAUCGUGACUCAUCCAGGUUUUGUUUAGAUUUUGGUUUAUUGGGUUUUUUCUGUGUUUAAAGUUUAGUACAUUUGUUAUUUGUUCUCCUUAGUUAUUCUUAUUUUGAUUAGAUCAGCCUUGUUUCUAUUUUAGUUUAGUUCAGUCCUUCUUAGUGUUUCCCGUU